GGGUUGUGAGGUUAAGCGACUAAGCGUACACGGUGGAUGCCCUGGCAGUCAGAGGCGAUGAAGGACGUGCUAAUCUGCGAUAAGCGUCGGUAAGGUGAUAUGAACCGUUAUAACCGGCGAUUUCCGAAUGGGGAAACCCAGUGUGUUUCGACACACUAUCAUUAACUGAAUCCAUAGGUUAAUGAGGCGAACCGGGGGAACUGAAACAUCUAAGUACCCCGAGGAAAAGAAAUCAACCGAGAUUCCCCCAGUAGCGGCGAGCGAACGGGGAGCAGCCCAGAGCCUGAAUCAGUGUGUGUGUUAGUGGAAGCGUCUGGAAAGGCGCGCGAUACAGGGUGACAGCCCCGUACACAAAAAUGCACAUACUGUGAGCUCGAUGAGUAGGGCGGGACACGUGGUAUCCUGUCUGAAUAUGGGGGGACCAUCCUCCAAGGCUAAAUACUCCUGACUGACCGAUAGUGAACCAGUACCGUGAGGGAAAGGCGAAAAGAACCCCGGCGAGGGGAGUGAAAAAGAACCUGAAACCGUGUACGUACAAGCAGUGGGAGCACGCUUAGGCGUGUGACUGCGUACCUUUUGUAUAAUGGGUCAGCGACUUAUAUUCUGUAGCAAGGUUAACCGAAUAGGGGAGCCGAAGGGAAACCGAGUCUUAACUGGGCGUUAAGUUGCAGGGUAUAGACCCGAAACCCGGUGAUCUAGCCAUGGGCAGGUUGAAGGUUGGGUAACACUAACUGGAGGACCGAACCGACUAAUGUUGAAAAAUUAGCGG
Molecule: ribosomal RNA, 769 nt
Filed under: Escherichia coli
Lineage: Bacteria; Pseudomonadati; Pseudomonadota; Gammaproteobacteria; Enterobacterales; Enterobacteriaceae
Description: bacterial LSU rRNA
Rfam family: Bacterial large subunit ribosomal RNA
Source: RNAcentral